GACGAACGCUGGCGGCGUGCUUAACACAUGCAAGUCGAACGCUGAAGCUCAGCUUGCUGGCUGGUUGAGUUGCGAACGGGUGAGUGACACGUGAGUAACCUGCCAUCUUCUUUGGGAUAACGCCCGACAACGGGUGCUAUUACUGGAUAUUCACUGCUUCUCGCGUGGGGGUUGGUGGAAAGGUUUUUUCUGGUGGGGGAUGGUCUCGCGGCCUAUCAGCUGGUUGGUGGGGUGAUGGCCUACCAAGGCUGUGACGGGUAGCCGGGCUGGGAGGGUGACCGGGCACAUGGGGAAUGGGCUACGGUCCAGACGGAUGCGGGAGGCAGCAGUGGGGAAUAAUGGGCGAUGGGCGAAAGCAGGAUGCAGCGACGCGGCGUGAGGGAUGGAGGCCUGCGGAGUGUAAUCGUCGUGCGCGCAUGGUAAAGCCGUAGCGUUGGGUUGUGGUGAGGGUAGUGAGUAAAGAAGCGCCGGCUAACUACGUG
This 482-nucleotide ribosomal RNA is filed under the name uncultured bacterium. RNAcentral describes it as "partial 16S ribosomal RNA". It matches the Rfam family "Bacterial small subunit ribosomal RNA", at positions 28 to 507 of the family's 1533-position model. The record is from RNAcentral.